Molecule: non-coding RNA, 45 nt
Organism: Schistosoma mansoni
Lineage: Eukaryota; Metazoa; Platyhelminthes; Trematoda; Strigeidida; Schistosomatidae
Source: Rfam
AUCCAGCUGACGAGUGAUAAAUACGACGAAACACGCGUCCUGGAU